AUGCACAGCUUCCUGUUUUGGUCUGAUAGCUUCCCCUGGGCUUUCAUAGAUGCAAAAUUACUCACACAGAGAUGGGUUGCCCAUGCAAAAAAGGGCAUUUAUUGUUUGGAGCAAUACUGUCUAAUUGGUCCAAGCACAGAAGAAAAGAACAUUAAUGCUAUUUGCUCUGUGUUUGAUAAAACCUCUGUUUGAUACAACAGAGCACGGGACCAUGGAAAGCCUCCAUGCAACCUGACUUUAAGGAUGUCAUAAGCAAAGACAAGAAGUCAUGACUAAGUCCACUGCAUGGAAAGAUGGGUGUGUUAAUAUAUUUUCUCUCAGGUAUUGGUGCCAACUUUGAUUUCUUUUGUUAUCCAAACUUAUUCUCAGAUUAAGUAGAUUGUUUUAUAAAUGUCACUGAAUCUUAGAAUAAACGUGCCUGUCGGUGAAUGAAUAGAUUAAACACACACACACACACACACACACACACACACACACACCGAAGUAUUAUUCGGCCAUAAAAAAGAAGGAAAGUCCAUUAUUUGAGACAACACGGAUGGAACUGAAUUUGAGGGCAUUAUGCUAAGUGAAAUAAGCCAGAUGGAGAAAGAUAAAUAUUGUAUGUUUUCACUUAUAUGCAGAAUCUAAAAAAGCUGAACUCAUAGAAAUAGAGAGUUGAGUGGUGGUUGCCAGGGGUGGGCAGGUGGGAAAAAUGAGGAGAUGCUGGUCAAAGUACAAACUCCCAGCUAUAAGAUGAAUAAGCUCUGGGAAUCUUGUGUAUGGCAUUAAAUUAUAUUGACUAUAAUUAGCAAUACUAUGUUAUAUACUUAAGAGUGAAGAGAGUAAAUUUUAAUUGUUAUCACCACACAUACGCAAAAUGGUAAUUAUGUGAGAGGAUGGGGGUGUUAAAAUUGUGGUAAUCAUUUUGCAAUAUAUAUGUGUAUCAAAUCAUCACAUUGUACAUGUUAAAUUUACACGUUACAUGUCAAUAAUAUCCCAAGAAAGCUGAAAAAAUUAAAUUAAAAACACACUUUGUGUAAAAAAAGAAAGUUAAAUGGAACUUCUAAUGCAAUUUUUAAAAAGUUAAGGAGAAAAUUGGCUUUAUCAUUAGAAGUGAUAACAUAUAAAUGCUGAACAAUGUACAAAUUCUACUGCUUGUAAUAAAAGAUUAAGACUUAAAAAAAAAAAGCUGGGCAUAAAAUGCUUUAAAUUUUGGUUCACAUCAAUUUGUCCAUGAAGGACGAUUUUCUGAAUUCUUUACUGAGCUUAUGUUUUUGAAAUGGAGGUAAAAAGGUUUCUCAACUCAAAACCAUAAUAGACUAGUUGCUAUAUGUUCAGUAAGUAGUUCUGACUAUGAUUCAGGGUAUUCUUAGGGGGUUUCCAUGAGACAGGACAAUAGAUACUUUGUGGUUUGGCUUUUUAUACUGGUUAUUGAUAGAUAAAACAAGUUCUCAUCUACACAUUGUUUUCACUGCCUUCUUUUGUAACAUUCCCCUAUAAGCAUGUUGUUAUUAAAUGAUUUGAUAAACCAUGGGCUCAGAUUGAUUAAACUCUAUGGGACAGCUGCAUCACAACUGAACCAAUGGAUGUUUUGUUAAGAAGUAUCUUUUAGUGAAAUAAUUCAACCUGUCUGUGGUUUAACGAUAGUAUAUCAGAGUUGACAGAGUAUUUUUUCCAAGCAUUUGCUUUUACUAUUUGGGAAACACAAUUGU
This 1691-nucleotide long non-coding RNA is filed under the name Canis lupus familiaris (dog). Its description in RNAcentral is "lncRNA (ENSCAFG00040022930.1)". The record is from RNAcentral. Lineage: Eukaryota; Metazoa; Chordata; Mammalia; Carnivora; Canidae.